AAGGAAAGGGAGAAAUUGUAGUGUGCUUCUCAUUUCUCAAAUUAAAGCUUUCAGCCUUUUUUCCUCCUCAGGUUCACAGAGUCACAGAAUACUAAAGUUAGAAGGGCUAGUAAGGCCAUCAGAUCCAAAGCCCUGCUCAAGGCAGGACUCCAAGUGAAAGCAUCAACAUGUUUUUGAGAAUGUUCUAAGACUGUAAUGUGUUCAGGGUGAGUGUAUCAUCAGUGUACAUGUGGAAGAGUGCUUCUUUUUUGCUGUAGCUUAAAUAAAUAAACGCCCAAAUGGCAGCAGGGGUUAUCUUCUGCCUGGCACUGUGGUUACCACAGAAAUGAAGAUUUGGAAAUGAUCCAAGGCUAUUAGCCAGAAUGCGAAGCUGAAGCACCCUGGCACUCUAUUUUAGCCAACAACUUUGGAAUUAUACAAUGAAAAAAUCAGGAGCAAUUACGGCUGACAUGCAUGUGAAAAAUUGAAAAUUCCAGCAGGUGUUGUUGCAUCUGCCAAAACUCUUCUCUUUAGCAGCCUGAACUUUUAAACAAACAAAUUAAUACAUUUUAGCCUCGCUGUAAUAAACUUUCUCAUUUGUUUCAGGUGGCAAAUAAAAUUAUCAGAGACAAGACAGAUGCACUCUUUCUUUCCUAGAAUCUAAAAUGUCCUCCAGAGUAUUUUAUUUUCCCUUAAUUGUGGCAUAUUUCCAAGCAGGUUGCCAGGUAGCAAAAUGGAGAUUAUUAAUAUCUUGUUCACAUCCACAAAGAAGGAAGACCUCAUCUUGUUUUGCAGCUGGUUCAAGGUUGGAGCAUGGAUCUCUGUAAAGGGAAGCUACCUCCCAUUGUUUAAAAAGAAAUGGUCAGUACAAGUCCAAAGCACAGUACACUGUACUGUAAAGUAAACCUUUUCAGCAAAGGUUCCUGGCCUUUGGGGACUGGCCGGCACAUUUGGAAUUUUGAGAAGGUUUUGUGGGUGCUCUCACUCUAGAAAGAAGCAUUUUGAUUUACAGCACACCAGCCACCCAGUUAAAAAUAAUUUCAAGAUCUUCAAUAAUAAAAUAAAAAUGCCAAGGGUCAGGAAGCCUAGCAGGCAUCAGAAGUGUUUACAAACACACUGGUGCCUAUGGACCCCAUGUUGGAGACCGCAGCAUUAGAUCUAUUUCCAAUUCCUUUUGCAAUGACAGAGAUAUGUGUGUGCGCUGUGUGAAAAGGUAAGUAGCAAUUUGGUUAGCUUUUAAAGUAGCUUGGAUUUUUACACGGUUCAGCUUGCUAGAAUGUCCUGCUGAAGCUCGGUCUAGCCAAGAUGGAGGUAGUAUUGAUGGGCAGUUCAGUUGACUUAGCAAGUGGCUUUCAGCUUAUUCUGCAGAGAGAUAAACUCUCCCAAAGGACUUGAUUUGCAGCAUGGGGGGCUCUUAGAUUCAGGCUUGUCUUUGGAGGUCCAAGUAGCUUCUGUGGCAUGAAGGACAUAACAGCAACUUAAGCUCUGUUCUAGUUUCAACCUGAGAAAACCUGGUUAUUAUGGUUAUCCUAACUUUGGUAACAUCCUGUCUGCAUUACUGUAAUGUCUUGUGCACAGUGAAGGCCAUUUGGAAGCUCAGUUCAAAAAGCAGCAGCUGGUUUACUAAUGGGGAUCAGUCAGAUAGAACAUUUCUCACUAGUCCUGAAACACUACACUUGUUCAUGCUUCAUCCUUGGGCACAAUUCAGGAUGCUAACUCUUCUUUCUGAGUCCCCAAAUGACCUUAGCAUGUCCAAGAAUAUGGACAUUCCUGGAGGCCUCUCUGAGGCCCCCAUCCCUUCUGAAGCAAGGAAGCAGAACUCCCAGGAGACUCAUCCGGCACCAAUGUUGAUGCCAAAACAACCUCAAAGGUGUCUGUUUGACUGGAAAUUUAAUGUACGUUUCUGUAUCUGUUUUUAGGCUGGCGUUUUGCUGAGAAUACCCUGAUGCUGCAAUUUGAAACUAUUACAUUUAUGGAGGGUUUUGUAUAAUGCGUUUAAAUUCUAAGCUUCUUUGAAGGUUUUAGUGUCAGAAAAGCAGGACAUCAAUAUUGGUGAUAAAUAUUUAUGAGUGUAAUUUUGGCAACUACAUCAUUCCCACCCUGACUCCAAAUCUCAAAGAUGGCAGCUUGGGCAAGAAGUACUUCUGGUCUUCCAAGAUCUGCCUUCUUGCAGCCUCACUCUGUACCUCCUCCAUUUCCCUUAGAUCACAUCAUGUCUAGUGAGGGGUCUUAAGCAUUUUCAUCUUUAUUGCCACGUUCCUCUCAGGACACAGAAAUCUAGUCAUGGUCUCAUUGACUGCUUAUGAAGGGGGAGUUACCUGGAUACGGACUGGAGUGAGAACACUCAUGCUUCAGCAGUGUUCAUUUUGAUCUGGCUGCUGUAAUGAAGGCAGGAUAAAUCUUCACAAGGCAGCUCUCAAAGGACUGAGAAAGUGAUACUAAACAGCACAACACCACAAUAUGAAAAAAGGACAGAGCAGAACAGCCAAACAAUCUUCUUUAGAAUCCUGGCAGUGCAUCCAGAUUAAAACUGAUCAGAAAUGGCCCUUUUAUCCUUCCUGUCCCACAUCUGAUAAAGGCACAUGACCUUCCAUCUUUUAUAAAAGGUGGCAUUCCUAUCGGUUAAUGCAACUGGAAGUUUUCAUUGUCAGGUGGCUUAACUGAAUCUAGUGAUGUACCACUUUGCAAAAAGCAAGAACUCUAGAGUCAGACAUCCAUAACCUGGCAAUGUAAAGGGAGAGGCUUUAACAGCACAAUCCUCUGAACGUACUUGAAAGUUUCCCCAUUAAGUCCAAUGGGUAGGUAUGCGAUUGCGUUUUAAUGACUCAAUCUUCUGAGAGGAGAAGCAAAACUACACUUAGCAAAGGCAUGCUUUUUCCUUCUGUUUAUGCUCUAUCCAUGACUGAUAGAUCGGCUCAACAGACAUUUUGAGCAGGAAGAUGCAAUAUCUGAUUUUUUCAUGAAACUAGCUGGAUAUUAUAGUGACCUACUCUGCCUAUAACAGUCCUCUCUGAAGAAUUGUCCAACUCAAGUCCAGUUUAAAGGUCUUAACCUGCACCGGAGUUCAGAUCCCUGAGAACUUCUCCAGUGGAAUUCAGCCCUUGCACUGAAAGAAGUUCAGUGCCUCUGAUUUACAAUACUGGCAACAGGAUCCAUGAUGGUGAGAUUUGCAAGAUAAGAACAUAGAGUUGCCCAGACCUUGAAUUACAGUUCAAGAAGCUUGGCACUGAAUGACCACUAUGGAAAAGAGCUGUUCCCUUGAAUACCAAGAGUGGUAAUUCAGCCACACAUUGGGGGAUUUCACUGAUUUGACCUACUUAAUCUUUAGCUUGUAAUUAAUUGUCAAGGCUGUUGUCAGCUCUAGAAAUCUAUUCCUGCUUGCUGGUCCCAAAGAGCUGUGUUUGGUUUUCUUCAAAGUGUUUCCUUCAAAGUAUGAAAUCAAUUGCUCCUGUAGCAUGUUCUCUCUACAAGUAACAAAGUCAAGCCAGGUUCUGUAAUGCCAUCCAAUUUGUUUAAAAAUAUUACUGCUUCUCAGCAUUUUCCUGUGUGAGCCAGGAACAGAUUUAGCUAAAGACACGAGGGGACUUGCAUCUAGGUUAGAUCCAAAGAACUGAACUGGAAGGAUGAUACUUUGGCCAACCUUCAGUGGAGGCUUUUGGGAUGGGACAGGCAGGAGACAGAAAAGCCACUUGGUAGGAGAGAAACCUCAUAUGUGCUUCUCUGGAUUCAAGCUGAUACAGGUAAUCAUUAUGCAUUUAAAAACUCUUACAGAUAUUUCCUGCUUAGACUUCAUUUUUCAAAGCUCAGCUAACCAAAAACUCUCAUUGAUUUAAAUUACUAGAUGUUGCAUUAAGAUAGGACCACCUUCUUCUAAAUGGUAUUUUCUAAUUAAACUUAUUUUUUUAAUCAGUUUGGAUGUCUUUAUCCACUUUGAAGCUGUUUGAUUAGGGCAGUCUAACAGGAUGUCUCAAGUUCUAGUUCCAGAAAUUCUUAAUAUAUAUGUGGGUAUAUAUGAUGGACUUAAGACUUUGCAUAUGAUUUAAGUAUUUGGGAGAAAAAUGUCUAUCCUGCAGUUUCUAGUUGAGAAGGGAACUCCGUUACAACUUCAUUGCAUUUUAUUUAUGUGCAUGGAAAUAGGAUAUCUGCAUAAAAUCAAUCCCAUGGAAAUAGGAUAUCUACAUAAAAAGCUUUUCCAAGAUAGCACCCUCCAGAUUUGCUGUACUACUGCUUCCAUCAUCCCCAACCUGCAUGCUGCUUGGAGAUCUUUAGGGCCUUGUUCUGAAAUAUCUGAAGAACAUCAAUUCCAGGGAGGCUGCAUUAUGCCAAUGGUGACCUGGACAAAGUGCACAAUCCCAUGUAUGCUUAGAUAGAAAUGAGGCCUGCACCUCCCAGCAUUCAUCCAAACAAGGGUUGGAUUAUACCCUAAGAGUCCUACUUCAGAGUAUA
Long non-coding RNA from Varanus komodoensis (Komodo dragon), 4425 nucleotides. RefSeq lists it as uncharacterized. The record is from RefSeq and is a predicted model, not a curated record. The transcript is spliced from 3 exons. NCBI's taxonomy places the organism in Eukaryota, Metazoa, Chordata, Lepidosauria, Squamata, Varanidae.